UUCUCCUCGCCCUCGGAGAACU
RNAcentral lists this microRNA (22 nucleotides) under Bos taurus (domestic cattle). RNAcentral describes it as "bta-miR-12055". The record is from miRBase by way of RNAcentral. Lineage: Eukaryota; Metazoa; Chordata; Mammalia; Artiodactyla; Bovidae.